Molecule: ribosomal RNA, 500 nt
Filed under: uncultured bacterium
Lineage: Bacteria
Description: partial 16S ribosomal RNA
Rfam family: Bacterial small subunit ribosomal RNA
Source: RNAcentral
AUUGAACGCUGGCGGAAUGCUUUACACAUGCAAGUCGAACGGCAGCACGGGAGCAAUCCUGGUGGCGAGUGGCGAACGGGUGAGUAAUAUAUCGGAACGUGCCCAGCCGUGGGGGAUAACGCAGCGAAAGCUGUUCUAAUACCGCAUACGAUCUAAGGAUGAAAGCGGGGGAUCGCAAUACCUCGCGCGAUUGGAGCGGCCGAUAUCAGAUUAGCUAGUUGGUGGGGUAAAGGCCCACCAAGGCGACGAUCUGUAGCUGGUCUGAGAGGACGACCAGCCACACUGGAACUGAGACACGGUCCAGACUCCUACGGGAGGCAGCAGUGGGGAAUUUUGGACAAUGGGCGCAAGCCUGAUCCAGCAAUGCCGCGUGCAGGAUGAAGGCCUUCGGGUUGUAAACUGCUUUUGUACGGAACGAAACGGCCCUUUCUAAUACAGGGGGCUAAUGACGGUACCGUAAGAAUAAGCACCGGCUAACUACGUGCCAGCCGCCGCGGUAA